RNAcentral lists this transfer RNA (66 nucleotides) under Purohita sinica. RNAcentral's name for it is "tRNA-Phe". It matches the Rfam family "tRNA". From Rfam's summary of the family: Transfer RNA (tRNA) molecules are approximately 80 nucleotides in length. The record is from RNAcentral. Lineage: Eukaryota; Metazoa; Arthropoda; Insecta; Hemiptera; Delphacidae.
AUUUAGGUAGCUUAAUAAAAAAGCUUAACAUUGAAAAUGUUUACAUACAUUAAAUUGUCUUAAAUA